AUUGAACGCUGGCGGCAGGCCUAACACAUGCAAGUCGAGCGGAUGAAGGGAGCUUGCUCCUGGAUUCAGCGGCGGACGGGUGAGUAAUGCCUAGGAAUCUGCCUGGCAGUGGGGGAUAACGUCCGGAAACGGGCGCUAAUACCGCAUACGUCCUGAGGGAGAAAGUGGGGGAUCUUCGGACCUCACGCUAUCAGAUGAGCCUAGGUCGGAUUAGCUAGUUGGUGGGGUAAAGGCCUACCAAGGCGACGAUCCGUAACUGGUCUGAGAGGAUGAUCAGUCACACUGGAACUGAGACACGGUCCAGACUCCUACGGGAGGCAGCAGUGGGGAAUAUUGGACAAUGGGCGAAAGCCUGAUCCAGCCAUGCCGCGUGUGUGAAGAAGGUCUUCGGAUUGUAAAGCACUUUUAGUUGGGAGGAAGGGCAGUAAGUUAAUACCUUGCUGUUUUGACGUUACCAACAGAAUAAGCACCGGCUAACUUCGUG
This 484-nucleotide ribosomal RNA is filed under the name uncultured bacterium. RNAcentral's name for it is "partial 16S ribosomal RNA". It matches the Rfam family "Bacterial small subunit ribosomal RNA", at positions 30 to 507 of the family's 1533-position model. The record is from RNAcentral.